Molecule: ribosomal RNA, 752 nt
Filed under: Acaulospora cavernata
Lineage: Eukaryota; Fungi; Glomeromycota; Glomeromycetes; Diversisporales; Acaulosporaceae
Description: SSU rRNA
Rfam family: Eukaryotic small subunit ribosomal RNA
Source: RNAcentral
CAUUACGGGUACGGGGAUUAGGGUUCGAUUCCGGAGAGGGAGCCUGAGAAACGGCUACCACAUCCAAGGAAGGCAGCAGGCGCGCAAAUUACCCAAUCCCAACACGGGGAGGUAGUGACAAUAAAUAACAAUAUGGGGCUCUUACGGGUCUCGUAAUUGGAAUGAGUACAAUUUAAAUCUCUUAACGAGGAACAAUUGUGAGGGCAAGUCUGGUGCCAGCAGCCGCGGUAAUUCCAGCUCCAAUAGCGUAUAUUAAAGUUGUUGGCAGUUAAAAAGCUCGUAGUUGAAUUUCGGANUUUGUCGGUUGGUCGGGCUUCACUGUCCGCACUGACCUGAUGGAUUCCUACCUUCUGAAUAACCAGCAUGCUAUUAAGUUAGUGCGUUGGGGAAGCAGAGCUAUUACCUUGAAAAAAUUAGAGUGCUUAAAGCAGGCUUGUGCUUGAAUAGAUUAGCGGAAUAAUAAAAUAGUGACGGCAUGGUUCUAUUUUGUUGGUUUCUAGGAUCACCGUAAUGAUUAAUAGGGAUAGUUGGGGGCAUUAGUAUUCAAUUGUCAGAGGUGAAAUUCUUGGAUUUAUUGAAGACUAACUUCUGCGAAAGCAUUUGCCAAGGAUGUUUUCAUUAAUCAAGAACGAAAGUUAGGGGAUCGAAGACGAUCAGAUACCGUCGUAGUCUUAACCAUAAACUAUGCCGACUAGGGAUCGGACGAUGUUAAUUUUUUAAUGACUCGUUCGGCGCCUUACGGGAAACCAAUU